Molecule: non-coding RNA, 1343 nt
Organism: Myodes glareolus (Bank vole)
Lineage: Eukaryota; Metazoa; Chordata; Mammalia; Rodentia; Cricetidae
Source: RefSeq, a predicted model, not a curated record
UCAGGUCUGAGCAGUUUUGUCCAUGGGUUCCUUCUCGUGGAGAGAGCCUUAAAUCCAAUCAGAUUUUGGUUGGUUAUUCUACAACUUCUGUGCCACUUAUUAUACCAGUGCAGGCGGAUCACCACUGCAGAUCAAAGGAAGAGGAAACCACUUACCACCACCAUGAACAUGAACUGGUGGAUUUGUGAUGAAGCUUAGAAGAUUCAACCUUGUUCAGCGUAUAGCUAACUGCAAGUCUGGAAGACCGAAGGGGGAUACAUGUCUCAGUUCCUGCAAGUAACUGCCUGACUCUUAAAUCAGAGUGGCAAGCAGGAAAAAGAAUGACAUCUUUAUCAUCCUCAAGGUUUGCAAAGUUUUGGUAGCACAUCAUACUCCACACUCCUCCCUUAGAAUGUUGCCCUCUCUUGCCUCAGCAGACCUGAAUGCCACAGUGCACUGUCUGCAUCGCUUUCUGCAGAGGUCAAGGGUCACUAGAGCCUCUGCUCUGUAAGGAGGGGAAGGGGAGCACUUUUGUGAGACCACCUGUAUGUGGAAUACAACAGUGGCUGUAUUUCCCAGGUCCUGGAGUCUGUGCCUUCUCCCAGGUAGGUUUCAUAGAUGUGAAAAUGUGUCCAGAGGGUGGGCACAUGCCGAGGUUUCUGGGUUCUUGCCUCCAACAAAGAAGAACUGGACCAGGGACACAUGAGUGUUGACAGAAAUAGAGACAGAUCAUUAAGCAAGAGAACAACACUCUCAGGUUGGAAGUGGGGUAGUGAACUGCACAGGUCCAAACCUGUAAUGCCCUGUUCUCCCCCAGCAUCAGGACCCUUUAUGGGGUCAUUCGCACAUCACCUGCCGUCGCCCACGUUCAGUACGCUCGCGGCUUUUUUGGAACAUGCUAUUUUACAUGACACCUUGGUGGGAAUGGGUUUUCAGUGUUCCUCUGCAGACUGCUUUCUUUCAUAUGUGACUCUUUAUGUCUCUGUCCUGUGCCCUACUCUCCUGGCUCGCUGCCCACAUGGAGAGGAUACCAGCUGCAGACCGGAGAAGGACGCUGGAAGUAGAGGGAAUGGGAGCCAACACGAUGGCUUUCGUUCCAGUUAGCCUGGCAAGCUAGGAAGUUUCUUCACUUUGAAGACAAUUUUAUAACAUUUCUUGAAAAACAGAAUCCAUGUAUGAGACAUCACCCUUAAUUGAUUGGUAUUUAAUCCCGACUAGCUGCCUUUCUCCAAGAAAGCAUCUUCGGGACAGAGAAUAACCUUGCCGGUAUCCAGCCUCUUCCUGUGAAGUCAGACACAAGCACCUGGCUGUAUUUCUCUGGCGGGUGGUUGACUUACAGCUAUCCCAUAACUAAUAAAGGUGAA